Molecule: long non-coding RNA, 484 nt
Organism: Corticium candelabrum
Lineage: Eukaryota; Metazoa; Porifera; Homoscleromorpha; Homosclerophorida; Plakinidae
Exons: 3
Source: RefSeq, a predicted model, not a curated record
UGGCAGUCUGUUUUGGCGGUUCGCUGUCGCGGCGUCUGCAAGAGGAUUAUGUUUUCACCUACCACAGAUGAAACCAUCGAUGAAGAAGCCUAAGCCAGCCGAAAACAGAAAUGUCGGUAGUUUCUUCAAGUUACGGACAUGGAUGGAGCUUGCCAGGGAUUGUGGCUUUUGAACAAGAUUCAGGAAAAACAAACUAAUAGAAAACGAUAAAAUCCUCAAGUACAGAUGAAUGCUCAACCAUGCAGAGGUCGCUCGUCCUACGACGGUUCAAUUGAAAGAAACCACAUCAGCGAUUCAUCACCUGGGCAAAAGAAUCAUCAGUGAAAAAGCAGAUAACUGACAAGGACUGCCACUGAACGUGAAAAGAAAGCAGAGACACUACACUUCUAGAGUGCAUUUUUGCUAAUCUAGAGUAAGCGUGCCAAAUGGUUAGUAGCACGUAAUUGCAAGAUGUAGCGAUUAGAUAAGGUAACUGGAAAUAUAA